This 74-nucleotide non-coding RNA is filed under the name Trypanosoma cruzi strain CL Brener. Lineage: Eukaryota; Euglenozoa; Kinetoplastea; Trypanosomatida; Trypanosomatidae. The record is from RNAcentral.
CUCUGGCUCAGCCGGCCACCUCAACGUGGUGCCAGCGUGCAGUACUCUUUGACAGGGAGGAAGCUAAGCGCCUG